UAGGGAAUCUUCCACAAUGGACGAAAGUCUGAUGGAGCAACGCCGCGUGAGUGAUGAAGGGUUUCGGCUCGUAAAACUCUGUUGUUGGAGAAGAACGGGUGUCAGAGUAACUGUUGACAUCGUGACGGUAUCCAACCAGAAAGCCACGGCUAACUACGUGCCAGCAGCCGCGGUAAUACGUAGGUGGCAAGCGUUGUCCGGAUUUAUUGGGCGUAAAGCGAGCGCAGGCGGUUUUUUAGGUCUGAUGUGAAAGCCUUCGGCUUAACCGGAGAAGUGCAUCGGAAACCGGGAGACUUGAGUGCAGAAGAGGACAGUGGAACUCCAUGUGUAGCGGUGAAAUGCGUAGAUAUAUGGAAGAACACCAGUGGCGAAGGCGGCUGUCUGGUCUGCAACUGACGCUGAGGCUCGAAAGCAUGGGUAGCGAACAGGAUUAGAUACCCUGGUAGUCCAUGCCGUAAACGAUGAGUGCUAAGUGUUGGAGGGUUUCCGCCCUUCAGUGCUGCAGUUAACGCAUUAAGCACUCCGCCUGGGGGAGUACGACCGCAAGGUUGAAAC
RNAcentral lists this ribosomal RNA (555 nucleotides) under uncultured bacterium. RNAcentral describes it as "partial 16S ribosomal RNA". It matches the Rfam family "Bacterial small subunit ribosomal RNA", at positions 355 to 900 of the family's 1533-position model. The record is from RNAcentral.